This 474-nucleotide ribosomal RNA is filed under the name uncultured bacterium. Its description in RNAcentral is "SSU rRNA". It matches the Rfam family "Bacterial small subunit ribosomal RNA", at positions 26 to 518 of the family's 1533-position model. The record is from RNAcentral.
AGGACGAACGCUGGCGGCGUGCUUAACACAUGCAAGUCGAGCGGAAAGGCCCUUCGGGGUACUCGAGCGGCGAACGGGUGAGUAACACGUGAGCAACCUGCCCUUAGCUCCGGGAUAGCUCCGGGAAACCGGAAUUAAUACCGGAUACGACCACGGCCGACAUCUGCUGUGGUGGAAAGGAUUCCGGCUAAGGAUGGGCUCGCGGCCUAUCAGCUAGUUGGUGGGGUAAUGGCCCACCAAGGCGACGACGGGUAGCCGGCCUGAGAGGGCGACCGGCCACACUGGGACUGAGACACGGCCCAGACUCCUACGGGAGGCAGCAGUGGGAAUAUUGCGCAAUGGGCGAAAGCCUGACGCAGCGACGCCGCGUGGGGAUGAAGGCCUUCGGGUUCGUAAACCCCUUUCAGCAGGGACGAAGCGAAAGUGACGGUACCUGCAGAAGAAGCGCCGGCUAACGUACGCGCCAGCAGCCGC